This is a long non-coding RNA of Oncorhynchus keta (chum salmon), 671 nucleotides long. RefSeq lists it as uncharacterized. NCBI's taxonomy places the organism in Eukaryota, Metazoa, Chordata, Actinopteri, Salmoniformes, Salmonidae. The record is from RefSeq and is a predicted model, not a curated record. The transcript is spliced from 3 exons.
GGACAGGGAUACUAGAGUGAUGGAGGUAGAUAUAUAUAGGGGACAGGGAUACUAGAGUGAUGGAGGUAGAUAUAUAUAGGGGACAGGGAUACUAGAGUGAUGGAGGUAGAUAUAUAUAGGGGACAGGGAUACUAGAGUGAUGGAGGUAGAUAUAUAUAUAUAGGGGACAGGGAUACUGGAGUGAUGGAGGUAGAUAUGUAUAGGGGUAAGGAGACAGGGAUACUGGAGUGAUGGAGGUAGAUAUAUAUAGGGGACAGGGAUACUGGAGUGAUGGAGGUAGAUAUGUAUAGGGGUAAGGUGACAGGGAUACUGGAGUGAUGGAGGUAGAUAUAUAUAGGGGUAAGGUGACAGGGAUACUGGAGUGAUGGAGGUAGAUAUAUAUAGGUGACAGGGAUACUGGAGUGAUGGAGGUAGAUAUGUAUAGGGGUAAGGUGACAGGGAUACUGGAGUGAUGGAGGUAGAUAUAUAUAGGGGUAAGGUGACAGGGAUACUGGAGUGAUGGAGGUAGAUAUAUAUAGGUGACAGGGAUACUGGAGUGAUGGAGGUAGAUAUGUAUAGGGGUAAGGUGACAGGGAUACUGGAGUGAUGGAGGUAGAUAUGUAUAGGGGUAAGGUGACAGGGAUACUGGAGUGAUGGAGGUAGAUAUAUAUAGGGGUAAGGUGACAGGGAUA